UGGGGAAUAUUGCACAAUGGAGGGAACUCUGAUGCAGCGACGCCGCGUGAACGAAGAAGGCUUUCGAGUCGUAAUGUUCUUUUAUAUGGGAAGAUAAUGACGGUACCAUAAGAAAAAGCCCCGGCUAACUACGUGCCAGCAGCCGCGGUAAUACGUAGGGGGCUAGCGUUGUCCGGAAUCACUGGGCGUAAAGGGUUCGCAGGCGGAAAUGCAAGUCAGGUGUAAAGGGCAGUAGCUUAACUACUGUAAGCAUUUGAAACUGCAUAUCUUGAGAAGAGUAGAGGUAAGUGGAAUUUUUAGUGUAGCGGUGAAAUGCGUAGAUAUUAAAAAGAAUACCGGUGGCGAAGGCGACUUACUGGGCUCAUUCUGACGCUGAGGAACGAAAGCGUGGGUAGCAAACAGG
Molecule: ribosomal RNA, 403 nt
Filed under: bacterium
Lineage: Bacteria
Description: partial 16S ribosomal RNA
Rfam family: Bacterial small subunit ribosomal RNA
Source: RNAcentral